This 427-nucleotide ribosomal RNA is filed under the name uncultured bacterium. RNAcentral's name for it is "bacterial SSU rRNA". It matches the Rfam family "Bacterial small subunit ribosomal RNA", at positions 355 to 774 of the family's 1533-position model. The record is from RNAcentral.
UGGGGAAUAUUGCACAAUGGGCGCAAGCCUGAUGCAGCCAUGCCGCGUGUGUGAAGAAGGCCUUCGGGUUGUAAAGCACUUUCAGCGAGGAGGAAGGCAUUGUGGUUAAUAACCGCAGUGAUUGACGUUACUCGCAGAAGAAGCACCGGCUAACUCCGUGCCAGCAGCCGCGGUAAUACGGAGGGUGCAAGCGUUAAUCGGAAUUACUGGGCGUAAAGCGCACGCAGGCGGUUUGUUAAGUCAGAUGUGAAAUCCCCGCGCUUAACGUGGGAACUGCAUUUGAAACUGGCAAGCUAGAGUCUUGUAGAGGGGGGUAGAAUUCCAGGUGUAGCGGUGAAAUGCGUAGAGAUCUGGAGGAAUACCGGUGGCGAAGGCGGCCCCCUGGACAAAGACUGACGCUCAGGUGCGAAAGCGUGGGGAGCAAACA